GACGAACGCUGGCGGCGUGCCUAAUACAUGCAAGUAGAACGCUGACUACUUUAGCUUGCCAGAGUAGAAGGAGUUGCGAACGGGUGAGUAACGCGUAGGUAACCUGCCUACUAGCGGGGGAUAACUAUUGGAAACGAUAGCUAAUACCGCAUAACAGUGUUUAACACAUGUUAGAUGCUUGAAAGAUGCAAUUGCAACACUAGUAGAUGGACCUGCGUUGUAUUAGCUAGUUGGUGGGGUAACGGCCCACCAAGGCGACGAUACAUAGCCGACCUGGUAGGGUGAUCGGCCACACUGGGACUGAGACACGGCCCAGACGCCUACGGGAGGCAGCAGUAGGGAAUCUUCGGCAAUGGGGGCAACCCUGACCGAGCAACGCCGCGUGAGUGAAGAAGUUUUUCGGAUCGUAAAGCUCUGUUGUAAGAGAAGAACGUGUGUGAGAGUGGAAAGUUCACACAGUGACGGUAACUUACCAGAAAGGGACGGCUAACUACGUGCCAGCCGCCGCGGUAA
RNAcentral lists this ribosomal RNA (513 nucleotides) under uncultured bacterium. RNAcentral describes it as "partial 16S ribosomal RNA". It matches the Rfam family "Bacterial small subunit ribosomal RNA", at positions 28 to 523 of the family's 1533-position model. The record is from RNAcentral.